ACACGUGGGCAAUCUGCCCUGCACUUCGGGACAAGCCCUGGAAACGGGGUCUAAUACCGGAUAUGACCACCGGCCGCAUGGUCUGGUGGUGGAAAGCUCCGGCGGUGCAGGAUGAGCCCGCGGCCUAUCAGCUUGUUGGUGGGGUGAUGGCCUACCAAGGCGACGACGGGUAGCCGGCCUGAGAGGGCGACCGGCCACACUGGGACUGAGACACGGCCCAGACUCCUACGGGAGGCAGCAGUGGGGAAUAUUGCACAAUGGGCGCAAGCCUGAUGCAGCGACGCCGCGUGAGGGAUGACGGCCUUCGGGUUGUAAACCUCUUUCAGCAGGGAAGAAGCGCAAGUGACGGUACCUGCAGAAGAAGCACCGGCUAACUACGUGCCAGCAGCCGCGGUAAUACGUAGGGUGCGAGCGUUGUCCGGAAUUAUUGGGCGUAAAGAGCUCGUAGGCGGCUUGUCGCGUCGGAUGUGAAAGCCCGGGGCUUAACCCCGGGUCUGCAUUCGAUACGGGCAGGCUGGAGUUCGGCAGGGGAGAUUGGAAUUCCUGGUGUAGCGGUGAAAUGCGCAGAUAUCAGGAGGAACACCGGUGGCGAAGGCGGAUCUCUGGGCCGAUACUGACGCUGAGGAGCGAAAGCGUGGGGAGCGAACAGGAUUAGAUACCCUGGUAGUCCACGCCGUAAACGUUGGGCACUAGGUGUGGGCGGCAUUCCACGUCGUCCGUGCCGCAGCUAACGCAUUAAGUGCCCCGCCUGGGGAG
RNAcentral lists this ribosomal RNA (756 nucleotides) under Streptomyces smyrnaeus. Its description in RNAcentral is "bacterial SSU rRNA". It matches the Rfam family "Bacterial small subunit ribosomal RNA", at positions 113 to 880 of the family's 1533-position model. The record is from RNAcentral. Lineage: Bacteria; Bacillati; Actinomycetota; Actinomycetes; Kitasatosporales; Streptomycetaceae.